Molecule: non-coding RNA, 74 nt
Organism: Podarcis lilfordi (Lilford's wall lizard)
Lineage: Eukaryota; Metazoa; Chordata; Lepidosauria; Squamata; Lacertidae
Source: the annotation of a GenBank genome assembly
GUUUGAAUAGCUCAGUUGGUUAGAGCGUUGUGCUGAUAACUCCAAGGUUGCAGGUUUGAUCCCUGUAUUGGACA